GAUGAACGCUGGCGGCGUGCCUAAUACAUGCAAGUCGAGCGAACAGACGAGGAGCUUGCUCCUCUGACGUUAGCGGCGGACGGGUGAGUAACACGUGGAUAACCUACCUAUAAGACUGGGAUAACUUCGGGAAACCGGAGCUAAUACCGGAUAACAUGUUGAACCGCAUGGUUCAACAGUGAAAGACGGUCUUGCUGUCACUUAUAGAUGGAUCCGCGCUGCAUUAGCUAGUUGGUAAGGUAACGGCUUACCAAGGCAACGAUGCGUAGCCGACCUGAGAGGGUGAUCGGCCACAAUGGAACUGAGACACGGUCCAGACUCCUACGGGAGGCAGCAGUAGGGAAUCUGCCGCAAUGGGCGAAAGCCUGACGGAACAACGCCGCGUGAGUGAAGAAGGUCUUCGGAUCGUAAAACUCUGUUAUUAGGGAAGAACAAAUGUGUAAGUAACUAUGCACGUCUUGACGGUACCUAAUCAGAAAGCCACGGCUAACUACGUG
RNAcentral lists this ribosomal RNA (497 nucleotides) under uncultured bacterium. Its description in RNAcentral is "partial 16S ribosomal RNA". It matches the Rfam family "Bacterial small subunit ribosomal RNA", at positions 28 to 507 of the family's 1533-position model. The record is from RNAcentral.